UGUAUAUAAAGGAAUUCUGCC
This 21-nucleotide non-coding RNA is filed under the name Caenorhabditis elegans. Lineage: Eukaryota; Metazoa; Nematoda; Chromadorea; Rhabditida; Rhabditidae. The record is from RNAcentral.